UCAGCAGGGAAGAGUCAAGACUGUACCUGCAGAAGAAGCCCCGGCUACACUACGUGCCAGCAGCCGCGGUAAUACGUAGGGGGCGAGCGUUAUCCGGAUUCAUUGGGAGUAAAGCGCGCGUAGGCGGCCCGGCAGUCCGGGGGUCGAAGCGGGGGGCUCAACCCCCCGAAGCCCCCGGAACCUCCGCGGCUUGGGUCCGGUAGGGGAGGGUGGAACACCCGGUGUAGCGGUGGAAUGCGCAGAUAUCGGGUGGAACACCGGUGGCGAAGGCGGCCCUCUGGGCCGAGACCGACGCUGAGGCGCGAAAGCUGGGGGAGCGAACAAGAUUAGAUACCCUGGUAGUCCCAGCCGUAAACGAUGGACGCUAGGUGUGGGGGGACGAUCCCCCCGUGCCGCAGCCAACGCAUUAAGCGUCCCGCCUGGGGAGUACGGCCGCAAGGCUAAAACUCAAAGGAAUUGACGGGGGGCCGCACAAGCAGCGGAGCAUGUGGCUUAAUUUGAAGCAACGCGAAGAAUCUUACCAGGGCUUGACAUAUGGGUGAAGCGGGGGAGACCCCGUGGCCGAGAGGAGCCCAUACAGGUGGUGCAUGGCUGUCGUCAGCUCGUGUCGUGAGAUGUUGGGUUAAGUCCCGCAACGAGCGCAACCCCCGCCGCGUGUUGCCAUCGGGUGAUGCCGGGAACCCACGCGGGACCGCCGCCGUCAAGGCGGAGGAGGGCGGGGAGGACGUCAAGUCAUCAUGCCCCUUAUACCCUGGGCUGCACACGUGCUACAAUGGCCGGUACAGAGGGAUGCCACCCCGCGAGGGGGAGCGGAUCCCGGAAAGCCGGCCCCAGUUCGGAUUGGGGGGUGCAACCCGCCCCCACGAAGUCGGAGUUGCUAGUAAUCGCGGAUCAGCAUGCCGCGGUGAAUAAAGUGCCGGGCCUUGCACA
Molecule: ribosomal RNA, 930 nt
Filed under: uncultured bacterium
Lineage: Bacteria
Description: partial 16S ribosomal RNA
Rfam family: Bacterial small subunit ribosomal RNA
Source: RNAcentral